This 293-nucleotide ribosomal RNA is filed under the name uncultured bacterium. RNAcentral's name for it is "partial 16S ribosomal RNA". It matches the Rfam family "Bacterial small subunit ribosomal RNA", at positions 505 to 796 of the family's 1533-position model. The record is from RNAcentral.
GUGCCAGCCGCCGCGGUAAUACGUAGGGUGCAAGCGUUAAUCGGAAUUACUGGGCGUAAAGCGUGCGCAGGCGGUGAUGUAAGACAGAUGUGAAAUCCCCGGGCUCAACCUGGGAACUGCAUUUGUGACUGCAUCGCUGGAGUGCGGCAGAGGGGGAUGGAAUUCCGCGUGUAGCAGUGAAAUGCGUAGAUAUGCGGAGGAACACCGAUGGCGAAGGCAAUCCCCUGGGCCUGCACUGACGCUCAUGCACGAAAGCGUGGGGAGCAAACAGGAUUAGAUACCCCUGGUAGUCC